CGGAGAGUUUGAUCCUGGCUCAGGAUGAACGCUGGCGGUCUGCUUAACACAUGCAAGUCGAACGGGAGUAGAAAUACUCUAGUGGCGGACGGGUGAGUAACGCGUGAGAAUCUGCCCUUAGGUCGGGGACAACCAUUGGAAACGAUGGCUAAUACCGGAUAAGCCGAGAGGUAAAAGAUUAAUUGCCUAGAGAAGAGCUCGCGUCUGAUUAGCUAGUUGGUGGGGUAAAGGCUCACCAAGGCAUCGAUCAGUAGCUGGUCUGAGAGGAUGACCAGCCACACUGGGACUGAGACACGGCCCAGACUCCUACGGGAGGCAGCAGUGGGGAAUUUUCCGCAAUGGGCGAAAGCCUGACGGAGCAAGACCGCGUGAGGGAGGAAGGCUCUUGGGUUGUAAACCUCUUUUCUUGGGGAAGAACUCAAUGACGGUACCCAAGGAAUCAGCAUCGGCUAACUCCGUGCCAGCAGCCGCGGUAAUACGGAGGAUGCAAGCGUUAUCCGGAAUUAUUGGGCGUAAAGCGUCCGCAGGUGGCAUUUCAAGUCUGCUGUCAAAGGCCGGGGCUUAACCCUGGAAAGGCAGUGGAAACUGAGAAGCUAGAGUGUCGUAGGGGUAGAGGGAAUUCCUGGUGUAGCGGUGAAAUGCGUAGAGAUCAGGAAGAACAUCGGUGGCGAAAGCGCUCUACUGGACGACAACUGACACUCA
RNAcentral lists this ribosomal RNA (702 nucleotides) under uncultured bacterium. RNAcentral's name for it is "bacterial SSU rRNA". It matches the Rfam family "Bacterial small subunit ribosomal RNA", at positions 1 to 749 of the family's 1533-position model. The record is from RNAcentral.